RNAcentral lists this ribosomal RNA (429 nucleotides) under uncultured bacterium. Its description in RNAcentral is "bacterial SSU rRNA". It matches the Rfam family "Bacterial small subunit ribosomal RNA", at positions 355 to 775 of the family's 1533-position model. The record is from RNAcentral.
UCGAGAGGCUUCGGCAAUGGGGGCAACCCUGACCGAGCGACGCCGCGUGGGGGAUGAAGGCCUUUGGGUUGUAAACCCCUUUCGACCGGGAAGAAUGAUCAUCGGGUGAAUAAUCCGGCGAUUUGACGGUACCGGUAGAAGAAGCUCCGGCUAACUCCGUGCCAGCAGCCGCGGUAACACGGGGGGAGCGAACGUUGUUCGGAAUCACUGGGCGUAAAGGGCGUGUAGGCGGUUCGGUAAGUGGGAUGUGAAAGCCCCCGGCUCACCCGGGGAACUGCAUCUCAUACUGCUGGACUUGAGUGCGGGAGAGGAUGGGGGAAUUCCUGGUGUAGCGGUGAAAUGCGUAGAUAUCAGGAGGAACACCUGUGGCGAAGGCGCCCAUCUGGCCCGUUACUGACGCUGAGGCGCGAAAGCUAGGGGAGCAAACGG